GAGUUUGAUCCUGGCUCAGGAUGAACGCUAGCGAUAGGCUUAACACAUGCAAGUCGAGGGGCAGCAUGAACUUAGCUUGCUAAGUUUGAUGGCGACCGGCGCACGGGUGCGUAACGCGUAUGCAACUUGCCUUACAGAGGGGGAUAACCCGUUGAAAGACGGACUAAUACCGCAUAUACUUAUUCGGUUGCAUGACCGGGCAAGGAAAUAUUUAUAGCUGUAAGAUAGGCAUGCGUCCCAUUAGCUGGUUGGUGAGGUAACGGCUCACCAAGGCAACGAUGGGUAGGGGAACUGAGAGGUUUAUCCCCCACACUGGUACUGAGACACGGACCAGACUCCUACGGGAGGCAGCAGUGAGGAAUAUUGGUCAAUGGGCGAGAGCCUGAACCAGCCAAGUCGCGUGAAGGAAGACUGUCCUAAGGAUUGUAAACUUCUUUUAUACGGGAAUAACGGGCGAUACGCGUAUUGCUAUGAAU
RNAcentral lists this ribosomal RNA (476 nucleotides) under Porphyromonas gulae. RNAcentral describes it as "bacterial SSU rRNA". It matches the Rfam family "Bacterial small subunit ribosomal RNA", at positions 9 to 474 of the family's 1533-position model. Lineage: Bacteria; Pseudomonadati; Bacteroidota; Bacteroidia; Bacteroidales; Porphyromonadaceae. The record is from RNAcentral.